Molecule: non-coding RNA, 502 nt
Organism: Arachis ipaensis
Lineage: Eukaryota; Viridiplantae; Streptophyta; Magnoliopsida; Fabales; Fabaceae
Source: RefSeq, a predicted model, not a curated record
CACAAUAGAGCCUGAAACAAACACACAACAGAGGCUGAAACAAAAACACAACAAAGCCCGAAACAAAACAAAUCCAACAUGGAGGAGGGGUAGCAAGUCAGCGGAGAUCAAGAACAGGGACAGUGCAACCAAACAAUGAACAAAACAAUGAAAACAGAAUUUUUUUUUAUAUAACUGAACAAUCAAAACAUGAAUCAUACAAUCACUAAUUGCAAAUUUUUUCUUCAUAAGAACAAAACAAUGAAAACAUGAAGCAUAUAAUAAAUCAAAAGAGCGCCAAUUGCAAAUUUUUUAAUAAGAACAGAAGUUAGAACAGUGAAAAAUGAAGAAAGAUUAACAGUUUUCAACCCAAUUUUAACAAAGCUCAUCACAAUGAUUAACAACAAAAAAAAAGCAAUGAAGGAACAGUGAAUCAUAAUAGAGUUAUCAAUUUAAAAUUUAUCAUCAAAUACAAUCAGUGAGCAAAACCAGUCAACCAAGUACUGACUGGGCAUUCGGAAAA